Molecule: long non-coding RNA, 519 nt
Filed under: Helianthus annuus (common sunflower)
Lineage: Eukaryota; Viridiplantae; Streptophyta; Magnoliopsida; Asterales; Asteraceae
Description: hypothetical non coding rna
Source: RNAcentral
AUGAUCUUUUUUACACCCUUUUUAACAUAAUACCCCACAAUGCUCACAUCCCUACUACACCCAUUUUAUAAAAACACCUCAUAAUGCCCCAUUGCUGACUAAAAUAGCACAUGGCACAAAACGUCAAGGGUGGGGCAUUAUUUGUGUCUUUCCACUACACAAUCUUAGUAAGAGUCGGCGUUUCAAAGUCUUAAAAAUCAAAGCUUUGGUUUUGGAAUAAAAGUACAUAAACAUAAUUUUUGCAUCUGUUUAUAAGUUAUACUAGGUUAUAACCCCGUGUAUUACACGGGUUGAAUAAAUAAAUUUUAUAUACUAAAUAAUAAAACAAUAUAUAUUUAAAAACCUCAUUUAUUGCGCGGGUUAAAUAAAUAUAAUUUUAUAUAUUAAAUAAUAAAAAGUUAUAUUUAUCAGAACCAUAUUGUACGAAUUAAAUAAAUGUAGUUUUAUAUACCAAAUAAAAAAGUUAUAUCUUUAAAACCACGUGUAUUACACGGGUUGAAUAAAUGUAAUAUUGUUUAC